This 309-nucleotide RNase P RNA is filed under the name Thermoprotei archaeon. Its description in RNAcentral is "RNase P RNA component". It matches the Rfam family "Archaeal RNase P". Rfam says of the family: Ribonuclease P (RNase P) is a ubiquitous endoribonuclease, found in archaea, bacteria and eukarya as well as chloroplasts and mitochondria. Its best characterised activity is the generation of mature 5'-ends of tRNAs by cleaving the 5'-leader elements of precursor-tRNAs. Lineage: Archaea; Thermoproteati; Thermoproteota; Thermoprotei. The record is from RNAcentral.
GGUAGCGGGCGUCGGGGGGCUCCGGCGACGGGCCCCCUGAGGAAGCUCCACCAGGUAGCGGGGGCCGUGGCGGCGUAAGCCGCCGGGGGAAAUCUCCGGGAUAGGGUACAGAAACGAGACCCCUCCCACUGGAUGUGGAUGAGGUGGGAUGGACCGCGGUAACGCGGUCCUAACCACUGACAAUGGUGGGAGGAGGGUGAGACGACCAGCCCACGGCAAAAGGGCCAAAUAGGGGCCGAUGAGGUCCCCGCACGAAGGCCCGGGUGGGCCCUGAGACUAAUCCCGCAAGACAGAAGGUGGGCUACUACC